UACUUGAACCCAGGAGGCAGAGGUUGCAGUGGGCUGAGAUCAUGCCACUGCACUCCAGCCGGGGCAACAGAGGGAGACUCUGUCUUAAAAAAAAAAAAAAAAAGCUGGGUGCGGUGGCUCAUCCCUAUAAUCCCAGCACUUUGGGAGGCCGAGGUGGGUGGAUCACAAGGUCAGGAGUUCAAGACCAGCCUGGCCAAUAUGGGUGACAGUGAGACUCCGUCUCAAAAAAAAAAAAACAGUGUCAUAUCUUUGUUUUAAUUUGUAUUUCC
Molecule: long non-coding RNA, 269 nt
Filed under: Homo sapiens (human)
Lineage: Eukaryota; Metazoa; Chordata; Mammalia; Primates; Hominidae
Description: non-protein coding lnc-TMCO6-1:1
Source: RNAcentral